Long non-coding RNA from Polistes dominula (European paper wasp), 992 nucleotides. The record is from RefSeq and is a predicted model, not a curated record. Lineage: Eukaryota; Metazoa; Arthropoda; Insecta; Hymenoptera; Vespidae.
AAUAAAAAAUAGCGUAUAAGAGAUAUUCUGUUUCUUUUUUUUUAUCGACGAUAUACGACGAACGAAGGAACGAAAUACACGAUUAGAAAUUAUACGCGCUCGCCAAGGACUAUCACCGUUACCACCACUACUACCAUCAUCAUCAUCGGCAACCAAUACCAACAUCGGGCUCUCCUGACACUAAGAGCAUUUAAUCAACGGUAGAAAUGUGAUUAGUGGAUUAAAAAACUAGAAACGAAAUGAGAAAAAGGAGUGACAAAUAAACGAAUGAGAAACUAGAGAGUGGGGAAGAAAGAAAGAGAGAGAGAGAGAGAGAGAGAGAGAAGUUUUGUAAGUAUGUAAGCCAAUUUUCAAGCUCGUAUUAACGUCCGGAUUUGCCGCUAUUACGAGAGAUUCAUUGAAUCUAGUAUGUGUGUGAGAGAAAGGAAGAUUAGGGAAGAGGGAGAAUGAGAGAGAAUAAGAGUGUGGAAACGAGGUUUAUGAAAUUAUGCGUGUAUUAGAGAGAGAGAGAGAGAGAGAGAGAGAGAGAGAGAGAGAGAGAGAGAGAGAGAGAGAGAGAGAGAGAGAAAGACAGUAAGAGAGGGAGAGAGAAAAAAAGAACAGAAAACACGUUAUUGAUACAAUUGAGUACGUCUUUAUGCUUAUGAUUAUGAUUAUUGUAUUAAUUAAUUGAUUAUCAUUAUAAAUUACCAUUAACAGAACGAAAGUAGGAAUAAACCUGACAGCAUCAAGGAUGAAAGAGAGAAGGGAGGAAGAAAUGAGAUAAAAGUAAAAAUAAAAAUUAAAAAAAAAAAAUAAAAAUAAUUACAAAAUAAAUAAAUAAAAAAGAAAGGCAACCACUUAUAUUAUUGUACAUACUUACUUGUAAUUGCUAUACGUAUUUCAGAGGUUUUUGUUCUCUCAAUGAAUGAUUUCCUCGAUUCUGAGGAAAGGAAAGGAAAAAAAAAACAAAGAAAUCGUAAAUAAAAUAAAAAAAUUUAUGUAUCAUUAAA